GAUGAACGCUGGCGGCGUGCCUAAUACAUGCAAGUCGAGCGAACAGACGAGGAGCUUGCUCCUCUGACGUUAGCGGCGGACGGGUGAGUAACACGUGGAUAACCUACCUAUAAGACUGGGAUAACUUCGGGAAACCGGAGCUAAUACCGGAUAACAUGUUGAACCGCAUGGUUCAACAGCGAAAGACGGUCUUGCUGUCACUUAUAGAUGGAUCCGCGCCGCAUUAGCUAGUUGGUAAGGUAACGGCUUACCAAGGCAACGAUGCGUAGCCGACCUGAGAGGGUGAUCGGCCACACUGGAACUGAGACACGGUCCAGACUCCUACGGGAGGCAGCAGUAGGGAAUCUUCCGCAAUGGGCGAAAGCCUGACGGAGCAACGCCGCGUGAGUGAAGAAGGUCUUCGGAUCGUAAAACUCUGUUAUUAGGGAAGAACAAAUGUGUAAGUAACUAUGCACGUCUUGACGGUACCUAAUCAGAAAGCCACGGCUAACUACGUG
Molecule: ribosomal RNA, 497 nt
Filed under: uncultured bacterium
Lineage: Bacteria
Description: partial 16S ribosomal RNA
Rfam family: Bacterial small subunit ribosomal RNA
Source: RNAcentral